GGAGAGGUGGCAGAGUGGUCGAUUGCGCUCGACUUGAAAUCGAGUGAGCCGCAAGGUUCCGAGGGUUCGAAUCCCUCCCUCUCCG
Molecule: transfer RNA, 85 nt
Filed under: Adonisia turfae CCMR0081
Lineage: Bacteria; Bacillati; Cyanobacteriota
Also listed under: 12 other names
Description: tRNA-Ser
Rfam family: tRNA
About the family: Transfer RNA (tRNA) molecules are approximately 80 nucleotides in length.
Source: RNAcentral